UACGUAGGGGGCUAGCGUUAUCCGGAAUUACUGGGCGUAAAGGGUGCGUAGGUGGUUUCUUAAGUCAGAGGUGAAAGGCUACGGCUCAACCGUAGUAAGCUCUUGAAACUGUAAGACUUGAGUGCAGGAGAGGAGAGUGGAAUUCCUAGUGUAGCGGUGAAAUGCGUAGAUAUUAGGAGGAACACCAGUUGCGAAGGCGGCUCUCUGGACUGUAACUGACGCUGAGGCACGAAAGCGUGGGGAGCAAACAGGAUUAGAUACCCUGGUAGUCCCU
RNAcentral lists this ribosomal RNA (274 nucleotides) under uncultured prokaryote. Its description in RNAcentral is "partial 16S ribosomal RNA". It matches the Rfam family "Bacterial small subunit ribosomal RNA", at positions 524 to 798 of the family's 1533-position model. The record is from RNAcentral.